ACAGCAGCAGCCGCGGUAAUACAGAGGGUGCGAGCGUUAAUCGGAUUUACUGGGCGUAAAGCGUGCGUAGGCGGCUUUUUAAGUCGGAUGUGAAAUCCCUGAGCUUAACUUAGGAAUUGCAUUCGAUACUGGGAAGCUAGAGUAUGGGAGAGGAUGGUAGAAUUCCAGGUGUAGCGGUGAAAUGCGUAGAGAUCUGGAGGAAUACCGAUGGCGAAGGCAGCCAUCUGGCCUAACACUGACGCUGAGGUACGAAAGCAUGGGGAGCAAACAGGAUUAGAUACCCCUGUAGUCCCUGUCUCUUAUAC
This 305-nucleotide ribosomal RNA is filed under the name uncultured bacterium. RNAcentral describes it as "partial 16S ribosomal RNA". It matches the Rfam family "Bacterial small subunit ribosomal RNA", at positions 505 to 807 of the family's 1533-position model. The record is from RNAcentral.